CAGUCUACUCAAGCAAAAUAAAACUUUCAGUUUGCCAUCCCGAAACUAAGUGAGCUACUUCAGAACAGUCCUAUGGGACCAACCCAUCUCUGUUGCAAAAGAGUGGGAAGAUUCUUAAGUAGAGGUGAUAAGCCUACCGAACUUAGAGAUAGCUGGUUGUUCAGGAAAAGAGUUUUAGCUCUACCUUAAGCUCUCUCUAUCAGACUAAAGAAACCCCAAAGCUUAAGAGCUAUUCAAAUAAGGCACAGCUUAUUUGAAACAGGAAACAACCUCCAACACCGGGUAAAUAAUAGUAAUCUAAAUAAAGUGG
This 310-nucleotide ribosomal RNA is filed under the name Lithobates okaloosae (Florida bog frog). RNAcentral's name for it is "Rana okaloosae (Florida bog frog) partial 16S ribosomal RNA". It matches the Rfam family "Bacterial large subunit ribosomal RNA", at positions 675 to 1066 of the family's 2925-position model. The record is from RNAcentral. Lineage: Eukaryota; Metazoa; Chordata; Amphibia; Anura; Ranidae.